AGCUUUAACUGAGACAGCGAGAAAGAGUAUAUCAGUGAGUGAUUUAGCUGCUGAGUCUUCUGCUAGAUCUACUGGGGAUCUAAAAGCUCUGCUACAGCAAAUGGGACAAGAGAAGGUGG
RNAcentral lists this non-coding RNA (119 nucleotides) under uncultured Mallomonas. The record is from RNAcentral. Lineage: Eukaryota; Synurophyceae; Synurales; Mallomonadaceae.